AGGGCACAUGCCAAGCACAUAGGGUCUGCAUGCAGGGUACACGCGUGGGCACUGUGUGCACACAGUGGAGAUCAGUGCUGCCCACCUUGCCCCGGGGCCAGCAGCCACUGCUCCCAGCACACCCUGCCCUACCUGCAGAGCGGGUGCCCCCUGAGGAUGAUGAGUACUCUGAAUACUCCGAGUAUUCCGUGGAGGAGUACCAGGACCCUGAAACCCCUUGGGAUAGUGAUGACCCCUGUUCCCUGCCGCUGGAUGAGGGCUCCUGCACUGCCUACACCCUGCGCUGGUACCAUCGGGCUGUGACAGGUGGCACAGAGGCCUGUCACCCUUUUGUCUAUGGCGGCUGUGGAGGGAAUGCCAACCGUUUUGGGACCCGUGAGGCCUGCGAACGCCGCUGCCCACCCCGGGUGGCCCAGAGCCAGGGGACAGGUACUGCCCAGGACUGAGGCCCAGAUGAUGAGCCGAGAUUCAGCGUCCCCUGGAGGAGUCGCGGUCUCAGCAGAACCCCACUGUCCCUCCCCUUGGUGCUAGAGGCUUGUGUGCACGUGAGCGUGCGUGUGCACAUCCAUUAUUUCAGUGACUUGGUCCCGUGGGUCUAGCCUUCCCCCCAGGGACAAACCCCCAUUGUGGCUUCUGCCACCCUGGCAGAUGACUCACUGUGGGGGGUGGCUGUGGGCAGUGAGCGGAUGUGACUGGCGUCUGACCCGCCCCUUGACCCAAGCCUGUGAUGACAUGGUGCUGAUUCUGGGGGGCAUUAAAGCUGCUGUUUUAAAAGG
Molecule: small RNA, 776 nt
Filed under: Pongo abelii (Sumatran orangutan)
Lineage: Eukaryota; Metazoa; Chordata; Mammalia; Primates; Hominidae
Description: retained intron
Source: RNAcentral